RNAcentral lists this RNase P RNA (384 nucleotides) under Sphingobacterium sp. Its description in RNAcentral is "RNase P RNA component class A". It matches the Rfam family "Bacterial RNase P class A". From Rfam's summary of the family: Ribonuclease P (RNase P) is a ubiquitous endoribonuclease, found in archaea, bacteria and eukarya as well as chloroplasts and mitochondria. Its best characterised activity is the generation of mature 5'-ends of tRNAs by cleaving the 5'-leader elements of precursor-tRNAs. RNAcentral also lists the same sequence under 1 other name. Lineage: Bacteria; Pseudomonadati; Bacteroidota; Sphingobacteriia; Sphingobacteriales; Sphingobacteriaceae. The record is from RNAcentral.
AAGCAAACCUGUUCUAUCGCUGUUCCUUCGGGAAGAGAGGAAAGUCCGGGCAACAUAGAGCGACACGCUUCCUAACGGGAAGGCGUCCUACACGUUGGAUGACAGAAAGUGCCACAGAAAAUAUACCGUCCGCCUUUUGGGCAGAUAAGGGUGAAAACGUGAGGUAAGAGCUCACGGUAUUGCAUGGUGACAUGUAUUACGGUAAACCUCGUGUGUUGAAAGAUCAAAUAGGUUGCGAAAUCAGAAGGCUGCUCGCCUUCUACUACUUCUCUAGUAGUAUUCGCGAUGGGUAGAUUGAUUGAGCUUGCGUGUGAAUGCAAGCCUAGAUAAAUGAUAGAAAUCCCUCAAGGGAUACAGAACCCGGCUUAUAAGGUUUGCUUCUUU